CAAAGGGACCCUGGACUCGGCUGUCACAGAGGCCGCCGACCAAGCCUGGCACCUGACCAUCCCACUACCUCCUCCAGGUCUGGCUAGACCUGGCUCAGCCCAUCACGAGCAUCAUGUACCAGUUCUCUAUCUGGAUGUAUGCGGGAGGCAUGUUAACAGCCUGAACCAGAGCUGGUGCGGCAAGAGACCACCACCAGAGCCACCUGCCCCAGGACAGAAACUUGCCAUGUGGCUCCUGCAUCCUGCUCCCAGGUCACUGUCUGUGUCGCAGUGUCCCUACUGACAUUCUAAAACUGGUGUGAUGCUCCUAAAUGGCCCACAGUCCAGGGUUAAAGGGCCACUUCUCCGGAAAGGCCCACCUCUCAAACAUCUCCUGAGCAACUGCCAAG
This 389-nucleotide long non-coding RNA is filed under the name Homo sapiens (human). RNAcentral's name for it is "HSALNT0002595". Lineage: Eukaryota; Metazoa; Chordata; Mammalia; Primates; Hominidae. The record is from RNAcentral.